RNAcentral lists this ribosomal RNA (497 nucleotides) under uncultured bacterium. RNAcentral describes it as "partial 16S ribosomal RNA". It matches the Rfam family "Bacterial small subunit ribosomal RNA", at positions 28 to 507 of the family's 1533-position model. The record is from RNAcentral.
GAUGAACGCUGGCGGCGUGCCUAAUACAUGCAAGUCGAGCGAACGGACGAGAAGCUUGCUUCUCUGAUGUUAGCGGCGGACGGGUGAGUAACACGUGGAUAACCUACCUAUAAGACUGGGAUAACUUCGGGAAACCGUAGCUAAUACCGGAUAAUAUUUUGAACCGCAUGGUUCAAAAGUGAAAGACGGUCUUGCUGUCACUUAUAGAUGGAUCCGCGCUGCAUUAGCUAGUUGGUAAGGUAACGGCUUACCAAGGCAACGAUGCAUAGCCGACCUGAGAGGGUGAUCGGCCACACGGGAACUGAGACACGGUCCAGACUCCUACGGGAGGCAGCAGUAGGGAAUCUUCCGCAAUGGGCGAAAGCCUGACGGAGCAACGACGCGUGAGUGAUGAAGGUCUUCGGAUCGUAAAACUCUGUUAUUAGGGAAGAACAUAUGUGUAAGUAACUGUGCACAUCUUGACGGUACCUAAUCAGAAAGCCACGGCUAACUACGUG